UCGAGAAUCUUCGGCAAUGGGCGAAAGCCUGACCGAGCGAUGCCGCGUGCGGGAUGAAGGCCCUCGGGUUGUAAACCGCUGUCGUAGAGGAGAAAGGUCUCGUGAAGAGCGAGAUUUGAUCUAUUCUAGGAGGAAGUCGGGGCUAAGUUCGUGCCAGCAGCCGCGGUAACACGAACCCGACGAACGUUAUUCGGAAUUAUUGGGCUUAAAGGGUGCGUAGGCGGUGCGGUAAGUGCGGUGUGAAAGCCCUCGGCUCAACCGAGGAAUUGCGCUGCAUACUGCCGUGCUGGAGGGAGACAGGGGUAAGCGGAACUGAUGGUGGAGCGGUGAAAUGCGUUGAUAUCAUCAGGAACACCGGUGGCGAAAGCGGCUUACUGGGUCUUCUCUGACGCUGAGGCACGAAAGCUAGGGUAGCGAACGGGAUUAGAUACCCGGUAGUCCUAGCCGUAAACGAUGAGCACUUGAUUGAGGGCCCCCCCAUACGGCUCUCGAUCGCA
RNAcentral lists this ribosomal RNA (497 nucleotides) under uncultured Planctomycetota bacterium. RNAcentral's name for it is "bacterial SSU rRNA". It matches the Rfam family "Bacterial small subunit ribosomal RNA", at positions 355 to 850 of the family's 1533-position model. Lineage: Bacteria; Pseudomonadati; Planctomycetota. The record is from RNAcentral.